GCCUGCUCCUCUGGGUAGCUCAGAUGCUAGAGCAUGAGACUAUUAAUGUCAGGGUUGUGGAUUUGAACCCCACAUUGGGCA
This is a non-coding RNA of Podarcis lilfordi (Lilford's wall lizard), 81 nucleotides long. The record is from the annotation of a GenBank genome assembly. Lineage: Eukaryota; Metazoa; Chordata; Lepidosauria; Squamata; Lacertidae.